UACGUAGGGGGCAAGCGUUGUCCGGAUUUAUUGGGCGUAAAGAGCGUGUAGGCGGUUUGGUAGGUCCGUUGUGAAAACUCGAGGCUCAACCUCGAGACGCCGAUGGAAACCAUCAGACUAGAGUCCGGAAGAGGAGAGUGGAAUUCCUGGUGUAGCGGUGAAAUGCGCAGAUAUCAGGAAGAACACCGGUGGCGAAGGCGGCUCACUGGCUCGUUUCUGACGCUCAGGCGCGACAGCGUGGGGAUCAAACAGG
Molecule: ribosomal RNA, 253 nt
Filed under: uncultured bacterium
Lineage: Bacteria
Description: partial 16S ribosomal RNA
Rfam family: Bacterial small subunit ribosomal RNA
Source: RNAcentral